GUGAUGUUUUGCCUUUCUCCAAGGAGUCUGGUUUGGAUUCCAGCAUUUUAGUGCAAGCAGAAUUGACUCAGAGAUUUCCAGAAGUUUUCCCAGCGUGUGUCCUGACUCGGUCUCAGACGAAGAGGAUGGGAACGGAGUUUACACUAGAUGACACCUUCAUGUGCACUGAUCAUCCAGUUCAAGUUGAUGUGGAGUCUGUCAGUGUCAAAGAGCAUCCAUGCCAGGAGUCAGAAUCAGAACAGAGGUGGAUGCUAGUGCCGUUGGAGCUGGUGCUGUGCUCUUACAGGAAGAUAAAGAAGGUUUCUUUAUUGGUUCGCCUGACCAUCUGGGAGGAUCUGGAUGUCCAAUC
This is a long non-coding RNA of Puntigrus tetrazona (Sumatra barb), 349 nucleotides long. RefSeq lists it as uncharacterized. Lineage: Eukaryota; Metazoa; Chordata; Actinopteri; Cypriniformes; Cyprinidae. The transcript has 4 exons. The record is from RefSeq and is a predicted model, not a curated record.